This 848-nucleotide ribosomal RNA is filed under the name uncultured Enterobacteriaceae bacterium. RNAcentral describes it as "partial 16S ribosomal RNA". It matches the Rfam family "Bacterial small subunit ribosomal RNA", at positions 1 to 789 of the family's 1533-position model. Lineage: Bacteria; Pseudomonadati; Pseudomonadota; Gammaproteobacteria; Enterobacterales; Enterobacteriaceae. The record is from RNAcentral.
GGNGCUCUCCCNUAUGGUCGACCUGCAGGCGGCCGCGAAUUCACUAGUGAUUAGAGUUUGAUCCUGGCUCAGAUUGAACGCUGGCGGCAGGCCUAACACAUGCAAGUCGAACGGCAACAGGAAGCAGCUUGCUGCUUUGCUGACGAGUGGCGGACGGGUGAGUAAUGUCUGGGAAACUGCCUGAUGGAGGGGGAUAACUACUGGAAACGGUAGCUAAUACCGCAUAACGUCGCAAGACCAAAGAGGGGGACCUUAGGGCCUCUUGCCAUCGGAUGUGCCCAGAUGGGAUUAGCUAGUAGGUGGGGUAACGGCUCACCUAGGCGACGAUCCCUAGCUGGUCUGAGAGGAUGACCAGCCACACUGGAACUGAGACACGGUCCAGACUCCUACGGGAGGCAGCAGUGGGGAAUAUUGCACAAUGGGCGCAAGCCUGAUGCGGCCAUGCCGCGUGUAUGAAGAAGGCCUUCGGGUUGUAAAGUACUUUCAGCGGGGAGGAAGGGAGUAAAGUUAAUACCUUUGCUCAUUGACGUUACCCGCAGAANAAGCACCGGCUAACUCCGUGCCAGCAGCCGCGGUAAUACGGAGGGUGCAAGCGUUAAUCGGAAUUACUGGGCGUAAAGCGCACGCAGGCGGUUUGUUAAGUCAGAUGUGAAAUCCCCGGGCUCAACCUGGGAACUGCAUCUGAUACUGGCAAGCUUGAGUCUCGUAGANGGGGGGGUANAAUUCCAGGUGUANCGGUGAAAUGCGUANAGAUCUGGGAGGAAUACCGGUGGCNAANGCGGCCCCCUNNACGAAGACUGACGCUCANGUGCNNNAGCNUGNGNAGCAAACAGGANUUAGAUACCCUG